GACGAACGCUGGCGGCGUGCUUAACACAUGCAAGUCGAACGGAAAGGCCCUGCUUUUGUGGGGUGCUCGAGUGGCGAACGGGUGAGUAACACGGGAGUAACCUGCCCUUGACUUUGGGAUAACUUCAGGAAACUGGGGCUAAUACCGGAUAGGAGCUCCUGCUGCAUGGUGGGGGUUGGAAAGGUUCGGCGGUUGGGGAUGGACUCGCGGCUUAUCAGCUUGUUGGUGGGGUAGUGGCUUACCAAGGCUUUGACGGGUAGCCGGCCUGAGGGGGUGACCGGCCACAUUGGGACUGGGAUACGGCCCAGACUCCUACGGGAGGCAGCGGUGGGGAAUAUUGCACAAUGGGCGGAAGCCUGAUGCAGCAACGCCGCGUGCGGGAUGUCGGCCUUCGGGUUGUAAACCGCUUUCGCCUGUGACGAAGCGUGAGUGACGGUAAUGGGUAAAGAAGCACCGGCUAACUACGUG
This 468-nucleotide ribosomal RNA is filed under the name uncultured bacterium. RNAcentral's name for it is "partial 16S ribosomal RNA". It matches the Rfam family "Bacterial small subunit ribosomal RNA", at positions 28 to 507 of the family's 1533-position model. The record is from RNAcentral.